Myotis brandtii (Brandt's bat) is the source of this 404-nucleotide long non-coding RNA. RefSeq lists it as uncharacterized. The record is from RefSeq and is a predicted model, not a curated record. The transcript has 2 exons. NCBI's taxonomy places the organism in Eukaryota, Metazoa, Chordata, Mammalia, Chiroptera, Vespertilionidae.
UUGGGGAAAUACCAUUAAAAGAAAAGUUGGAUUUAGUCUAACAUAAGAACAAAUACUAGUGUAUAGUACACCUGUUGGCUCUUUUUAUCCUCCUACAUGGGGGAAAAUCCAUUGCCUUUGAACAGCUAAUUUAAUUUUACUUUUAAAGCCAGUUUUUUUAUUUGUUAACAGCAAGUAGAAAAAUAUAGGAGAUAUAAUCAUGAGAAUUUAUUGAGGUGAAAAGGGACACCUUAGUGCAGAGUUUAAUUAUUGAUGGGGGUUACUAAUAAAACCAGCGAAAGCUAUGUUCUUUUGAGAGCCAUAUUUGAAUGUAUUCUGGCACUCUGGAGCUUAAUGAUGAUUGCCUUUUUGAUUGCUCAAAGCAACGUGAAAAAUGCAUUUCACCGGCUCUGAAAGCUCUUGAG